This 253-nucleotide ribosomal RNA is filed under the name uncultured bacterium. Its description in RNAcentral is "partial 16S ribosomal RNA". It matches the Rfam family "Bacterial small subunit ribosomal RNA", at positions 524 to 776 of the family's 1533-position model. The record is from RNAcentral.
UACGGAGGGUGCAAGCGUCAUCCGGAUUUACUGGGUUUAAAGGGUGCGUAGGCGGACAGGUAAGUCCGUGGUGAAAUCUCUGAGCUUAACUCAGAAACUGCCAUGGAUACUAUUUGUCUUGAAUACUGUGGAGGUAAGCGGAAUAUGUCAUGUAGCGGUGAAAUGCUUAGAUAUGACAUGGAACACCAAUUGCGAAGGCAGCUCACUACACAGUUAUUGACGCUGAGGCACGAAAGCGUGGGGAUCAAACAGG